RNAcentral lists this ribosomal RNA (253 nucleotides) under uncultured bacterium. RNAcentral's name for it is "partial 16S ribosomal RNA". It matches the Rfam family "Bacterial small subunit ribosomal RNA", at positions 524 to 776 of the family's 1533-position model. The record is from RNAcentral.
UACGUAGGGUGCGAGCGUUAAUCGGAAUUACUGGGCGUAAAGCGUGCGCAGGCGGUUUCACGCGCUCGAUGUGAAAGCCCCGGGCUUAACCUGGGAAUGGCAUUGAGGACGGUGGAGCUAGAGUGCGGCAGAGGGAGGUGGAAUUCCACGUGUAGCAGUGAAAUGCGUAGAGAUGUGGAGGAACACCGAUGGCGAAGGCAGCCUCCUGGGCCGACACUGACGCUCAUGCACGAAAGCGUGGGGAGCAAACAGG